This 70-nucleotide transfer RNA is filed under the name Bacteroides sp. A1C1. RNAcentral describes it as "tRNA-OTHER". It matches the Rfam family "tRNA". Rfam says of the family: Transfer RNA (tRNA) molecules are approximately 80 nucleotides in length. Their secondary structure includes four short double-helical elements and three loops (D, anti-codon, and T loops). The record is from RNAcentral. Lineage: Bacteria; Pseudomonadati; Bacteroidota; Bacteroidia; Bacteroidales; Bacteroidaceae.
GGGCGUUCGGUGUAAUGGCUAACACACCUCAUUUGAGGAACUGGCGGUUCGAGUCCGUCAACGCCCACCA